RNAcentral lists this transfer RNA (85 nucleotides) under Felis catus (domestic cat). It matches the Rfam family "tRNA". Rfam says of the family: Transfer RNA (tRNA) molecules are approximately 80 nucleotides in length. Their secondary structure includes four short double-helical elements and three loops (D, anti-codon, and T loops). Further hydrogen bonds mediate the characteristic L-shaped molecular structure. tRNAs have two regions of fundamental functional importance: the anti-codon, which is responsible for specific mRNA codon recognition, and the 3' end, to which the tRNAs corresponding amino acid is attached (by aminoacyl-tRNA synthetases). tRNAs cope with the degeneracy of the genetic code in two manners: having more than one tRNA (with a specific anti-codon) for a particular amino acid; and 'wobble' base-pairing, i.e. permitting non-standard base-pairing at the 3rd anti-codon position. Lineage: Eukaryota; Metazoa; Chordata; Mammalia; Carnivora; Felidae. The record is from Rfam by way of RNAcentral.
ACCUGAGUGGCUCAGUCGGUUAAGCAUCUGACUUCAGCUCAGGUCAUGAUCUCACAGUUUGUGAAUUCAAGUCCCACUUCGGGUG